Molecule: ribosomal RNA, 512 nt
Filed under: Vibrio sp. 2B2B3S245
Lineage: Bacteria; Pseudomonadati; Pseudomonadota; Gammaproteobacteria; Vibrionales; Vibrionaceae
Description: bacterial SSU rRNA
Rfam family: Bacterial small subunit ribosomal RNA
Source: RNAcentral
GGGCGCAAGCCUGAUGCAGCCAUGCCGCGUGUAUGAAGAAGGCCUUCGGGUUGUAAAGUACUUUCAGCAGUGAGGAAGGUGGGUAUGUUAAUAGCAUACUCAUUUGACGUUAGCUGCAGAAGAAGCACCGGCUAACUCCGUGCCAGCAGCCGCGGUAAUACGGAGGGUGCGAGCGUUAAUCGGAAUUACUGGGCGUAAAGCGCAUGCAGGUGGAUGAUUAAGUCAGAUGUGAAAGCCCGGGGCUCAACCUCGGAAUAGCAUUUGAAACUGGUCAUCUAGAGUACUGUAGAGGGGGGUAGAAUUUCAGGUGUAGCGGUGAAAUGCGUAGAGAUCUGAAGGAAUACCGGUGGCGAAGGCGGCCCCCUGGACAGAUACUGACACUCAGAUGCGAAAGCGUGGGGAGCAAACAGGAUUAGAUACCCUGGUAGUCCACGCCGUAAACGAUGUCUACUUGGAGGUUGUGGCCUUGAGCCGUGGCUUUCGGAGCUAACGCGUUAAGUAGACCGCCUGGG